GUGCACAAUGAACCAGAAGAAAACAAAGAUGGCACCAUCUCAGCCACUCAUGUGGGCAGUUUUGGAUUUAGGAGUAUUUCAGAUUUUGGAAUUCUGGAUAAGUUAUGCCCUGUACAAAGAAGAUGCAAAAGUCAAAAGGUCACCUGAGACUAGCUGAUAUGAUAGCAGUUUAUUGGCAGAAUUGGUUGACAGUAUUAACUGAUUUAUAUUUCACUUUCCUACAAAAAGUACCGACUGCAGUGUUUAAUAGGAUUGUAAUAGCAUAAAAUAAAAAUAAGUGAAAAGGGAAAUACAACAAACAAUUUUAGUCAGCAGCAACAAAAUACAACAAAUCAAAAUGCAUCUUUAAUUGUAGCAAGAGUUAAAAUGCUAUAAAGUUAAACUGGCAAAAUAAAAGUUGUGUAGUCUUUUCCCUUUCACAUGUAAAAGCAAGGGCUACUUUGUGUUGUCAAAGGCUUUCAUAGCUGGAAUCACUGGAUUGUUGUGAGUUUUCCAGGCUGUAUGGCCAUGUUCCAGAAGCAUUAUCUCCUGGCAUUUCACCCAUAUCUAUGACAGUCAUCCUCAGAGGUUGUGAGGUAUAUUGGAAACUAGGAAAGGGAGGUUUAUAUAUCUGUGGAAGGUCCGGGAUGGAAGAAUGAAUCCUUUUCUGUUGGAGGCAAGUGUGAAUUUUGCCUUGUUUCCAAUAUACCUCACAAUCUCUGAGGAUGCCCAAAAAACUCACAGCAACCCAUGGACUACUUUGUAGUUAUAGAAAAUCUUUUUUUUUUUUUUUGCAAUUCCCACAAUGAAUUGUCAUAUUUUUUUGUAAGUUACCACACACUUCCUUCAGUAUACUGAGCUUUUGCUUGGUUUAUUUAAAUCUAAAUACCGUAAUUGGUCAGUUUAAAAGGAGACGAUGAAUCAAUACAAAAACUCUUUAAACAUUCAAUGGGCCAGCAGGGCUAAAGAGUCAAUACAGAGGCUUCCCUUUGCCUUGCGCUUUGGUCUGUGCCACUUGUACGCGCACGCCGCUGUCUUCCCCAGAUUUCUGCUUUUGACCCACAUCCUGAAGGAAUAAUGGCCUCUGCUUUCUAUGGGCUUUAGAGUACGCAGAAUGGAAAUGCCUAGCCAAAGAGCAGACAGAAGCAGGCCCGGGAAGGCAGGGAGCGCGUGGCCUUGAAAUACAAAGACAACUGUUGCUGCUACUAUUUGCUGCUACCAUCACCACCAGAUCCAGAAUUAGGAGGUUGGUGUGAGGACCUUGGCAUCGGGAGAAAGGACAUACUUUCCAGGGGAGCUGAUGCAAACAGGAGUACAGGAUGCACUGGAAUGCACAUCAAUCACAACUAUUCCCAUUGAGAAAUACCUCAAGGGUCUAGAAUAGAUGAAGAUAACAGAACAUGGAAUCUGUUAUUGCUGUGAUGGCUACAUCAAAGGAAAGAUCCUUUCUGAGCAGGAAAGCAGGAAAAAUUAAGAUCCUACAUUGUAAAAUAACAAAUAUAUUAAUGAAUUAGGAUGGAGUUAUAUAGAGCUAUUGAGUGGUAUAAAACCUUGGCUUUGUCCCUAAUAGUGGCAUGUUGUCAUCAUUGUUAUGUUAUAAAGUUGGCUUUGACUUACCUUAUUGAUAUCUAUGAAUAAAAAAUCUGCAAGAGGUCCUGUUA
Long non-coding RNA from Anolis carolinensis (green anole), 1640 nucleotides. RefSeq lists it as uncharacterized. Lineage: Eukaryota; Metazoa; Chordata; Lepidosauria; Squamata; Anolidae. The record is from RefSeq and is a predicted model, not a curated record. The transcript has 3 exons.